Molecule: non-coding RNA, 1437 nt
Organism: Lepisosteus oculatus (spotted gar)
Lineage: Eukaryota; Metazoa; Chordata; Actinopteri; Semionotiformes; Lepisosteidae
Source: the annotation of a RefSeq genome assembly
ACCCUGUACUGCGAACAUGAUGACAACAACCAUGACUACAUUGAUUCACUUCAAGGUAGCUUCCUUUGACAGAAUGCUGACAGCUCUGCUCCUGAUCGUGCUGUUAUUUAUUUCACCAUGUCUCUCAGCCGGCCCGCUGGUGCUCCAACAGGAAGAUCCGAUGUAUCCUUCGGUGGGGGAUACAGUGUCCCUGCAGUGCAGCAUUGCAGCCGGAUCCUCCAUGAGCAGCUACACCAUGCAGUGGUACAGGCAGAAGGACAGGCACCGAGCCGUUGAGUUCAUCAAGAACGAGUACGAUGCUUCCGACUCAGGCCCUGAGGAACACUUUCAGGUAUCCAUCGCAGCCUCUGAAAACCAGUUCACUCUGGAGAUCAGAAACCUGAGCAAGGAAGACACUGCAACCUACUACUGCGCGGCGAGUCACAUCGCUGUGGGCCUGUGGAGGGCCUGUACAAGAAGGAGAGGAGGCAGCAGAACACCUGGCAUAGCGUCUGAGGACACGUGAGCUCACAAAAUUGACAUGCAGACGUCACACCUAAUAAAAUACAACAGCCUAUAGUUUACUGCACUUAACAGUAUGGCAUUGUUGUGUAUGAAUAUUCUUAUAUUGCGUGCAGUACAUAUUGUGCUAUGAAUAGAAAAAAUGAAUAUAUGUAAGAUGCAAAGUUAAUGUAAAGCUGGCACUCUUGGGAGUUAUUGAUGACAGAGUCCUGUAACUACUGUAGGAACACCUUGAUACCAGGGGAGAAUGUUAUGUCCUCAUGGAAGAAACAGGUAGAGGGGUCUGCUAGCUAAAGAAAAAAAUCUUGUUAGUCUUAAACAAAGAAGAUUAUGAAGAGACCUGAUAUAAGUAUUCAAAAUCCUUAGCCCAGUGUGUACCUGCCAGACCUCUUCAGAAUGAACAGUGAAACUCAGACCAGAAGACACUAGGCAAAACUCAGUGGAAGUGCAUUUAAAACCAAGAACAGGAGGCACUUGUUUAUCACAAGGGUUGUGGGAGUAUGGAAAAGCUACCAAGCCGUGUUGCUAAAGCCCUUCCUUCAAGAAAAGGCUGGAUGAGAUUCCGAGAUCAGUUAACUACUAAAUAUAAAAAAGAUAAGAUGAGCUGAAUGGCCUCCUAUUUUUUGUACUUGUAACUAAAUAACUUUAUAAUUUUGUCUUGUUCUCCAGAAGAUAACUUUGAAAUUUAAAAUAAUAUCAAAAUAGUGCACUUUAAAUAUUUCCAGUCAUUUAAAGAUGACACAAUUUGUGAAAUUCACAUGGAAUGAACUCUUUAUUCAUUACAGUUAGGAAGAAAUGAAGAAAUUAAAUGAAGUGUUUUUUUGUAAAAGUGCUACAAUGUUAAUGAAGAAUGUACUUUCACUUUUCAGAAAAAUUAACUCUGCUUCACUUUAUCUAUUUCAGGUAUGAGGCAAAUAAAGUGUUUUUUUAACUAUU